CCUGAUGCCAUCACUCUUUUUAUAUAUGUAGAUUCACAUUUAGAUAUAAUCAUAUAUAUAUAUAUUUAUAUAGAAAAAAAUCAUAUAUAUAAAUAAAUAUAUGUAUAUUUAUAUAUAAACCUUUAUACUUAUAUAUAUAUAUAUGUGUGUGUGUGUGUGUGCAGAGAAGCAAGCACAGUUACAGAAUGUAUUGCUCUGUGGAUCUAUGGAUGUCUCUAUCCUUUGGGGCUUUACCUAGUCCGAGGCAGGACACCCUCAGUCCCGACUUGCCGAGGUUUCUAGACGGAGGAGGAGGAGGAGAAGGGAUAUUAUUAUAACAGGGAAAUAUUAAUAGAUCGGCAUAAACAAAAGGCGAGGAACAGGCACACCAUUUGCCAGCCCGGGGGCGAUGCCUGCCUUCCUUCCUCCUUCCUUCCUUGCGCGGAGCAGAUGUCGCCCCGGCUUCCCCGGCUUUGCCAGUUUCCAAAAAAAGAAAGAGAGAGAGAGAGAGAGAGAGAGAGAGAGAGAGGAAGAACGAACACAUGAACGAAUGAACGAGAAAAAACAGGCUCCGAUCUCGUCCAGAUGGGGGAACCUCGGCUCCUCGGGGUUGAGGACCUGGAUUGCACUCCAGCCUAUUAUACACGACUGUCAUUCAUAUCUAUCUAUAUAUCUAUAUAUAUGAUGGACUACAACUCCCAUCGUUCUCCAUCACCCCCAUUGACCCUAUAUGAACUACAAUUCCCAUCAUGCCCCACGAUCCCUCCUCCGGUUGACUCCAGACUGGACUACUGUGGAUGGACUACAACUCCCAUCAUUCUCUACCUUUCCUCAAGAUCAUGGACUACAACUCCCAUCGUUCUCUAUUGCUCUCCUCUUAAUUCGAAGCCAAGACCUGGACGUGGGUGGACUACAACUCCCAUCGUUCUCUACCUUUCCUCAAGAUCAUGGACUACAGCUCCCAUCAUUCUCUAUCGCUCUCCUCUUAAUUCUAAGCCAAGACCUGGACGUGGGUGGACUACAACUGCCAUCGUUCUCUACCAUUCUUCAAGAUCGCAGUGCGGGUGGACUACAACUCCCAUCAUUCUCUAUCACUCCUCUCGAAAACCUGAAACUGAUAGUAGACUACAACCCCCAUCACCCUCCCAUCCCAUUAACCCACAACCUAUAUGUUGGCGGACUACAACUCCCAUCAUCCCUCCCGUUGACCCAAGACCUAGAUGUGAGUCGAUUACAACUCCCAUCAUUCUCUAUCACCCCUCCCAUUAACCAAAUACCUAGAUGUGGGUGGACUGCAACUCCCAUCACUCUCCUGUUAAUCCAAGACCUAGAUGUGAGUCUACUACAACUCCCAUCAUCCCUUCCGUUGACCCAGGAAUUAGAUAUGGGAGGACUACAACUCCCAUCACUCUCCCGUUAA
This 1399-nucleotide long non-coding RNA is filed under the name Anolis carolinensis (green anole). Its description in RNAcentral is "lncRNA (ENSACAG00000034746.1)". The record is from RNAcentral. Lineage: Eukaryota; Metazoa; Chordata; Lepidosauria; Squamata; Anolidae.